UACGGAGGGUGCAAGCGUUGUCCGGAAUUAUUGGGCGUAAAGAGCUCGUAGGCGGCUUGUCGCGUCGGCUGUGAAAACCUGGGGCUCAACCCCGGGCCUGCAGCCGAUACGGGCAAGCUAGAGUUCGGUAGGGGAGACUGGAAUUCCUGGUGUAGCGGUGAAAUGCGCAGAUAUCAGGAGGAACACCGGUGGCGAAGGCGGGUCUCUGGGCCGAAAUUGACGCUGAGGAGCGAAAGCGUGGGGAGCAAACAGG
This 253-nucleotide ribosomal RNA is filed under the name uncultured bacterium. RNAcentral's name for it is "partial 16S ribosomal RNA". It matches the Rfam family "Bacterial small subunit ribosomal RNA", at positions 524 to 776 of the family's 1533-position model. The record is from RNAcentral.